This is a non-coding RNA of Triticum urartu, 133 nucleotides long. NCBI's taxonomy places the organism in Eukaryota, Viridiplantae, Streptophyta, Magnoliopsida, Poales, Poaceae. The record is from Rfam.
CAUAUACUCCCUCCGUUCCAAAAUACCUGACUUCUAUUUGUCUAAAAAUGGAUUAUCAUAUACUAAAACAUGUCUAGAUACAUCUAUAUUUUGACAAUGAAAGGCAUGUAUUGUGGAAUGGAGGGAGUACAUG